AGGGAUGUAGCUUAGUGAUAAAGCCUUUGCCUAGCAUGCACAAGAUCCUGGGUUCCAUCCCCUGUACCACUA
This 72-nucleotide transfer RNA is filed under the name Heterocephalus glaber (naked mole-rat). It matches the Rfam family "tRNA". Rfam says of the family: Transfer RNA (tRNA) molecules are approximately 80 nucleotides in length. Their secondary structure includes four short double-helical elements and three loops (D, anti-codon, and T loops). The record is from Rfam by way of RNAcentral. Lineage: Eukaryota; Metazoa; Chordata; Mammalia; Rodentia; Bathyergidae.